UACGGAGGGUGCAAGCGUUAUCCGGAUUCACUGGGCUUAAAGGGUGCGUAGGCGGCUUGAUAAGUCAUUGGUGAAAGCUCGCAGCUUAACUGCGAAACUGCCAUUGAAACUGUCAAGCUUGAAUGUGGUUGAAGUGGGCGGAAUACAACAUGUAGCGGUGAAAUGCUUAGAUAUGUUUUAGAACACCGAUUGCGAAGGCAGCUCACUAAGCCAAUAUUGACGCUGAGGCACGAAAGCGUGGGUAGCAAACAGG
RNAcentral lists this ribosomal RNA (253 nucleotides) under uncultured bacterium. RNAcentral describes it as "partial 16S ribosomal RNA". It matches the Rfam family "Bacterial small subunit ribosomal RNA", at positions 524 to 776 of the family's 1533-position model. The record is from RNAcentral.